GUUCUGUUUUUGCAAGCAUAGCGCGCUGAAAUGCUGAAAAGUCCGUACCUCAAGUCCUGAAGGUUGGGAACUAACCCAACGGGUGACAGUGUGCUGCUCCAGGUACCCAGGUCGUCUCCCAGCAGCGCCUCGGAGCGUUACUUGGGCACAGUCCACAGAAAAAGAGAAGGGAGAAAGGCCGACACACCUCUGGCCACAGCACUAACAACUGUGGCGAAUCCGGAGCUUUCCGCAGGGCAGAGGAGAGAGAGCUGCGGCAGACAGCAGCUUUGGGGCUAGGACUUUGCCUUUUCCAGCGGCCGGCACAGACUCGGUUGCCCCUUGGAUUCUUCGCAAGAAAUCUGUGUUUUAAUCCUCGCCCCGAAUGAAGUCUCACCAAGAGCUUGCCGGCUCUAGAACGAGGGUUGUUUUGCAGGCAAGUUCCUGGGCUUCGCUCCAAAGCUGCCUCGGGAUGUUUUGGUUGGUUUAGAGGAAAGCUGCGGCCUCUCCUACCCAGUUCUUAACCAGACAGCCCCCUGGCGGCAGCGAGGAAAAGCCUGGCUGGGCCCAGGUUUCAUGUGGGGGGGGAGGGGGCAAGCCUUGCGAUCAGCUCUGUAAUAAGGGUAGCACCGGGGAAUUCAAGAGGCCCUGAGAAGCCUGGAGUCCCAGGACGUCUUACUUCUUUUCCUACACAUGUCUCUGAGCCAUGUUUUUGCUUAAAUUCUCUCUCAAGAAAGACACACACUAAAAGUGAAAUCUAACAGCCGCAAAAGGUUACUUUUUUUUGUUU
Long non-coding RNA from Rattus norvegicus (Norway rat), 769 nucleotides. RefSeq lists it as uncharacterized. NCBI's taxonomy places the organism in Eukaryota, Metazoa, Chordata, Mammalia, Rodentia, Muridae. The record is from RefSeq and is a predicted model, not a curated record.